GUCCUAGGCGGUUCCUGUGGAGCGAGGCCCAGCCCGAGGAGCAGAGUCAGGCCCUGGAUGCGGGGCCUCCCGCGGGGUCCUGGGGCUCGGGUUGGGGCUGCCGGCCUGCUUCACAGCAGAAAAUCAAAAGCAAUCCUCUGUGCCACGCGCCCAACAGCGAUCCCAGCUGCAAACUGGAGGGCAGAUGGGUAUCUGAAACCAGCCGGAUAGACUCGAGGUUAAGGUGGCGAAUUUAGGGACUGAGACCGGCGCAGAUCAGCAUGGCACUGAGGUCCUGGAUAAGGGAGACAGUACCAUCCGCUCAGCAGGUUUUAAAAAGUCAUCACAAAGGAGCGAAUUCCAUAAUGAGCAUCUGAGCCUAAACAUGUGGAAGGACCCCUUCCGCUCCCCGGAGGCCACCAUCGGAAAGAGAGAAGCAUGGAGACGUGGUUCUGCUCCCUCUGGAAGGCUGCACUGGGAGGAGGCCGGGGCGUCGGGUGGACCAGGGCUCCAGAACCCUGGAGUGCUGGGCUCCAGGCUGGGUGUGCAGGCUGCAGACUGGCCCGUCCGUCCCUUCUCAUCUUCGUCUUUCAGUCCCUGUCCUAGGACAAGUGAAAGGACAGAAGGCAACCCCUUGCAGAGGCCGUGGGCCUGGGCCCCCUGCCUCCUUCCCUGUCACACUCGUGGGGGACAGGAGAACAUGGUGGGGCUGUCCCCAGGACCCCAGCCUUCCCCAGGCCCACGUGUGUGGGACAAGGAGGCCUGAUGCAAGCCCACAGCCCAGAGCCCCUGAUCAGAGGGUCCAGAUGGGACUGUGCCUGCUGGCCCUGGCCAUCCCUAGUCCCCUGUGCCAGGGAAGGGCGGUGGGGACCUGGGGGGACAGGAAGGAGGCUGUCUGCUUCUAGGAGGAGCAGAGAGGGGAGGAUUGUGCAGGUGGCUGUGAGCCCCACGCUGAGCCAAGAGCCUGUCCUGCCACCUUGGGCCACUAACAGUAACUAGUGCCUGUGGUUCAUCCUCAACCGAUGCUGUGGCUCCCACAUCUGGGAGAAGUGUGUCCGUGACCUUGGCCCUCAAGGACCCGGGCCGUGGGUCUCAGGCAGGCAGGAAUGGAUGUUCCAGAAGGCCCAGCUUUGGGCUUUCGGUGGGGGUCCAAGUCUGGCCCGGAGCCCGUGUGUCUCAGCUCCCUGGGCUGCCGGCCAGAGAACUGUCCCCUUCCUGUGCGGGUGAGGGCCGGACCGCGCACCUUUGCCAUGUUGUUUAUUUGUUAUUUAUUUACAGUUUAUUUUUUUUUAUCGAGGUGUAAUGGACACACCAUGUUAUAUUAGCUCCAGGCAUAGAACACAGACGCGGCAUUUGUGUGCACUGCAAAGUGACCAUGUGGGGGACAUCGGUCACCACAGGCCCUGUUGUGUGACUUUUCUGGGCCUCAGUUUCCGCCUGUCCCACGGGGGCACUAACUGCCCUCGCCCCAUGGGGCGGUUGUGACAGUCACGAGAGAGAAUGUGAGGAGAGGAUUUCACGCAGAGUAAACGGUAGCUCUGGUUAUUUUUAGCCUCGCCACCAUCCCGGGUCCUCAGAUUCUCUGAUGUCCUCCCACAGGGUGUCAGUUGGACUAGAGUCCCAGGACACACAUUUCCUGGCCCUCCCCGCGGGAGCCGGUCAGUCUGCCCCGUCCCCCUGUGUUGGCAUCAUCUGAGGUCUCCCUGUCCUUUAUUUAGGAUGCUGGCACACCGCACCGGCCUUCUAGAACAUGCCUGUGUCACUGCGGCUGCCACACCUGUGACCUGGAACCCCUCCAGUGCUAGAGAGAGCGGGAACAGGACUCCCCAGGUGGAUCACCUGCUUCCUCGGAAGCUCCCAUCCCCCUACUGCAGGGAGGCACCCCCCCCCCCCCAGGAAGUUGGAGAGACUUUGUAAUCAAGUAUAAUCUACCUACAGGAAAACUACAAGCGCAGCACAAAUAAAUCUUUCCUGGAACCUCA
This is a long non-coding RNA of Prionailurus viverrinus (fishing cat), 1961 nucleotides long. RefSeq lists it as uncharacterized. The transcript is spliced from 2 exons. Lineage: Eukaryota; Metazoa; Chordata; Mammalia; Carnivora; Felidae. The record is from RefSeq and is a predicted model, not a curated record.